Molecule: ribosomal RNA, 229 nt
Filed under: uncultured bacterium
Lineage: Bacteria
Description: partial 16S ribosomal RNA
Rfam family: Bacterial small subunit ribosomal RNA
Source: RNAcentral
UGCGCAGGCGGAACGGUAAGUCAGUGGUGAAAGCCUACAGCUCAACUGUAGAACUGCCAUUGAUACUGUCGUUCUUGAGUAUAGUCGGAGUGGGCGGAAUGUAUCAUGUAGCGGUGAAAUGCAUAGAUAUGAUACAGAACACCAAUCGCGAAGGCAGCUCACUAAACUAUAACCGACGCUCAGGCACGAAAGCGUGGGGAGCAAACAGGAUUAGAUACCCUGGUAGUCC